UGAACCUCAAACUGGCCUUGUGGGGUGAC
This 29-nucleotide non-coding RNA is filed under the name Bombyx mori (domestic silkworm). The record is from RNAcentral. Lineage: Eukaryota; Metazoa; Arthropoda; Insecta; Lepidoptera; Bombycidae. RNAcentral also lists the same sequence under 1 other name.